AUUUGCCCGCUUGCCGUCUGGCGUUGUGGGGUGUGGUUAGUUUAGCGGUGUUGGGUCCAGCGAACGUGCGGGCGCAUGAGUGGUAAUGGGAUUGCUUUUGUCGGCUGGCUCCGUGCUCGCGCAUCGAACGGUCGACAUGCUCUCCCCUUCAUUGACACCGACUUGCCUUCGCGGCAUCGGUGCUUGUUGUCGGUUCCUGUGCUGCCUACCUACUUGGUGGUAUUUGUCGGGUUGUCGAGACGCGUUCCACCCAGUCCAAUUUCUGGGGGAUUCGAAAGAAACGCAGUGCUGCCGACGUUAGCCUUGCUUGUAGUGCCUGCUCGCAGGCUUCCUUCGGCACGCUUGCUUUUGCUGAUCUGUUGGAUACGGUGUAUGCUGCGAACGCGGGGCUGGUGUCCCGUGUUGUCCCUCGAAAAUCCGGUUGGCUUGAAUGACGGUUGCCUUGGCGGAGGUUUUGCUCACCUUUACUGCGUGGCAUCACUUGCGCCAAUUGCGAAGUCAGUAACGGGUGCUACCUG
RNAcentral lists this unclassified non-coding RNA (518 nucleotides) under Desmodium craibii. RNAcentral's name for it is "partial contains external transcribed spacer and 18S ribosomal RNA". Lineage: Eukaryota; Viridiplantae; Streptophyta; Magnoliopsida; Fabales; Fabaceae. The record is from RNAcentral.